CGGAGGGUGCAAGCGUUGCUCGGAAUUAUUGGGCGUAAAGGGGAGGUAGGUGGUCUCAUUUGUCUGGGGUGAAAGCCUUGAGCUUAACUCAAGAAGUGCCCCGGAAACGGUGAGACUGGAGUCCUGGAGAGGGUCGUGGAAUUCCCGGUGUAGCGGUGAAAUGCGUAGAGAUCGGGAGGAACACCUGAGGCGAAGGCGGCGACCUGGACAGGUACUGACACUCAACUCCGAAAGCGUGGGGAGCAAACAGGAUUAGAUACCCUGGUAGUCCACGCCGUAAACGAUGGGUACUAGGUUUGGUGGGUCUUAACCCCCGCUGAACCGGCGCUAACGCACUAAGUACCCCGCCUGGGAAGUACGGUCGCAAGACUA
Molecule: ribosomal RNA, 372 nt
Filed under: uncultured organism
Description: bacterial SSU rRNA
Rfam family: Bacterial small subunit ribosomal RNA
Source: RNAcentral